RNAcentral lists this ribosomal RNA (402 nucleotides) under uncultured prokaryote. Its description in RNAcentral is "bacterial SSU rRNA". It matches the Rfam family "Bacterial small subunit ribosomal RNA", at positions 355 to 774 of the family's 1533-position model. The record is from RNAcentral.
UGGGGAAUAUUGCACAAUGGGGGAAACCCUGAUGCAGCGACGCCGCGUGAGCGAAGAAGUAUUUCGGUAUGUAAAGCUCUAUCAGCAGGGAAGAAAAUGACGGUACCUGACUAAGAAGCACCGGCUAAAUACGUGCCAGCAGCCGCGGUAAUACGGAUGGUGCAAGCGUUAUCCGGAUUUACUGGGUGUAAAGGGAGCGUAGACGGAUAAGCAAGUCUGGAGUGAAAGCCCGGGGCUCAACCCCGGGACUGCUUUGGAAACUGUUAAUCUAGAGUGCUGGAGAGGUAAGUGGAAUUCCUAGUGUAGCGGUGAAAUGCGUAGAUAUUAGGAGGAACACCAGUGGCGAAGGCGGCUUACUGGACAGUGACUGACGUUGAGGCUCGAAAGCGUGGGGAGCAAACA